GGAUGAACGCUAGCUACAGGCUUAACACAUGCAAGUCGAGGGGCAGCAUUGGAGUAGCAAUACUCAGAUGGCGACCGGCGCACGGGUGAGUAACACGUAUCCAACCUGCCGCGUUACUCGGGGAUAGCCUUUCGAAAGAAAGAUUAAUACCCGAUGGUAUAAGAGUUCGCAUGUUCUCUUUAUUAAAGAAUUUCGGUAAGCGAGUGGGGAUGCGUUCCAUUAGAUAGUUGGCGGGGUAACGGCCCACCAAGUCUACGAUGGAUAGGGGUUCUGAGAGGAAGGUCCCCCCACAUUGGAACUGAGACACGGUCCAAACUCCUACGGGAGGCAGCAGUGAGGAAUAUUGGUCAAUGGACGAGAGUCUGAACCAGCCAAAGUAGCGUGAAGGAUGACUGCCCUAUGGGUUGUAAACUUCUUUUAUAAGGGAAUAAAGUGAGGGACGUGUCCCUUUUUGUAUGUACCUUAUGAAUAAGGAUCGGCUAACUCCGUGCCAGCCGCCGC
This 501-nucleotide ribosomal RNA is filed under the name uncultured bacterium. RNAcentral describes it as "bacterial SSU rRNA". It matches the Rfam family "Bacterial small subunit ribosomal RNA", at positions 27 to 518 of the family's 1533-position model. The record is from RNAcentral.